GAAUUAAUACUUUAAAAAAAAGAAUAAGUUUGCAUCUUAAAAUUGACAUAAGUUUGUCUUAAUUCG
RNAcentral lists this transfer RNA (66 nucleotides) under Marcia recens. RNAcentral describes it as "tRNA-Ala". Lineage: Eukaryota; Metazoa; Mollusca; Bivalvia; Venerida; Veneridae. The record is from RNAcentral.